UGGGGAAUAUUGGACAAUGGGGGCAACCCUGAUCCAGCCAUGCCGCGUGAGUGAUGAAGGCCUUAGGGUUGUAAAGCUCUUUUGGCAGGGACGAUAAUGACGGUACCUGCGGAAUAAGCCCCGGCUAACUUCGUGCCAGCAGCCGCGGUAAUACGAAGGGGGCAAGCGUUGUUCGGAUUUACUGGGCGUAAAGGGCGCGUAGGCGGGGUAUCCAGUUAGGGGUGAAAGCCCGGGGCUCAACCUCGGAACUGCCUUUAAAACUGAUACUCUAGAGUCCGGAAGAGGGUCGCGGAAUUCCCAGUGUAGAGGUGAAAUUCGUAGAUAUUGGGAAGAACACCGGUGGCGAAGGCGGCGACCUGGUCCGGUACUGACGCUGAGGCGCGAAAGCGUGGGGAGCAAACAGGAUUAGAUACC
Molecule: ribosomal RNA, 414 nt
Filed under: uncultured prokaryote
Description: bacterial SSU rRNA
Rfam family: Bacterial small subunit ribosomal RNA
Source: RNAcentral